MicroRNA precursor from Bos grunniens (domestic yak), 89 nucleotides. NCBI's taxonomy places the organism in Eukaryota, Metazoa, Chordata, Mammalia, Artiodactyla, Bovidae. The record is from Ensembl.
GUGUUGGCCAAAAAGUUCGUUCGGGUUUUUCUGUACAUUUAUUUAAAAGCCCAAACAGAAAACCUCAAAUGAAAUUUCUGGCCAACUCA